UACGAAGGGGGCUAGCGUUGCUCGGAAUUACUGGGCGUAAAGCGCACGUAGGCGGUCUUUUAAGUCAGGGGUGAAAUCCUGGAGCUCAACUCCAGAACUGCCUUUGAUACUGAAGAUCUUGAGUUCGGGAGGGGUGAGUGGAACUGCGAGUGUAGAGGUGAAAUUCGUAGAUAUUCGCAAGAACACCAGUGGCGAAGGCGGCUCACUGGCCCGAUACUGACGCUGAUGCACGAAAGCGUGGGGAGCAAACAGG
This 253-nucleotide ribosomal RNA is filed under the name uncultured bacterium. RNAcentral describes it as "partial 16S ribosomal RNA". It matches the Rfam family "Bacterial small subunit ribosomal RNA", at positions 524 to 776 of the family's 1533-position model. The record is from RNAcentral.